GUGCUUGCCUUGGCAGCACCUAUAUUAAGGUUAGAACAAUACAGAGAAGAUUAGCAUAGCCCUGCACAAUAAUGACACACAAAUUCCUGAAGCAUUCCAUAUUUUU
Small nuclear RNA from Ictidomys tridecemlineatus (thirteen-lined ground squirrel), 106 nucleotides. Lineage: Eukaryota; Metazoa; Chordata; Mammalia; Rodentia; Sciuridae. The record is from Ensembl.